GCAAUAUUUGUUUUAUUAUUAUCAUUAUUUACAGCAUUUACAAGCUCUAGCGGAGAGCCGGAUAUACCUUACAAAUGUACUCUAUUCUUCCUUAUUAUGCAUGCAACUAUUAAAUUAUGGACUUGGGCCAGCAGCAGUGGCAGUUAUGGAAUUCAACAAUCUAGCUCUUCGAUGGCAUUCAGAAAAUUUGCCAAGAAUUUUGUAAUGGGAAAUCGCUCAGGUUUCUCUCGUUCAUUUUCAUUUCUCAUUUUCCUUCCAAUCAAUCAUUCUACAUAGGCUCGAGAAAGGGAAGGCUAGUCCUGAGCAGCGCUAUGUACGAAAGAUCAACCUACUCAAAAGUUAAUCCAAUAUUUUCUCACCAGUCGAAAAGAGGUUCCAGACAACGGUUCCAACCAAGUACAGCCCAACUGAAACCUUGAAAACAUCAUCCCAAGA
RNAcentral lists this unclassified non-coding RNA (435 nucleotides) under Hevea brasiliensis (rubber tree). Lineage: Eukaryota; Viridiplantae; Streptophyta; Magnoliopsida; Malpighiales; Euphorbiaceae. The record is from RNAcentral.